AACGAACGCUGGCGGCAUGCCUAACACAUGCAAGUCGAACGAGAUCUUCGGGUCUAGUGGCGCACGGGUGCGUAACGCGUGGGAAUCUGCCCUUUGGUUCGGAAUAACAGUUGGAAACGACUGCUAAUACCGGAUGAUGACGAAAGUCCAAAGAUUUAUCGCCAGAGGAUGAGCCCGCGUAGGAUUAGCUAGUUGGGGUGGUAAAGGCGCACCAAGGCGACGAUCCUUAGCUGGUCGGAGAGGAUGAUCAGCCACACUGGGACUGAGACACGGCCCAGACUCCUACGGGAGGCAGCAGUGGGGAAUAUUGGACAAUGGGCGAAAGCCUGAUCCAGCAAUGCCGCGUGAGUGAUGAAGGCCUUAGGGUUGUAAAGCUCUUUUACCCGGGAUGAUAAUGACAGUACCGGGAGAAUAAGCUCCGGCUAACUCCGUGCCAGCAGCCGCGGUAA
This 449-nucleotide ribosomal RNA is filed under the name uncultured bacterium. RNAcentral describes it as "partial 16S ribosomal RNA". It matches the Rfam family "Bacterial small subunit ribosomal RNA", at positions 29 to 523 of the family's 1533-position model. The record is from RNAcentral.